RNAcentral lists this ribosomal RNA (447 nucleotides) under uncultured bacterium. Its description in RNAcentral is "bacterial SSU rRNA". It matches the Rfam family "Bacterial small subunit ribosomal RNA", at positions 355 to 825 of the family's 1533-position model. The record is from RNAcentral.
UCGGGAAUAUUGGACAAUGGGCGCAAGCCUGAUCCAGCCAUGCCGCGUGAGUGACGAAGGCCUUAGGGUUGUAAAGCUCUUUUGGCGGGGAAGAUAAUGACGGUACCCGCAGAAUAAGCUCCGGCUAACUUCGUGCCAGCAGCCGCGGUAAUACGAAGGGAGCUAGCGUUGUUCGGAAUCACUGGGCGUAAAGCGCACGUAGGUGGAUAGUUAAGUGAGGGGUGAAAGCCCGAGGCUCAACCUCGGAAUUGCCUCUCAUACUGGCUGUCUCGAGUCCGAGAGAGGUGAGUGGAAUUCCUAGUGUAGAGGUGAAAUUCGUAGAUAUUAGGAAGAACACCGGUGGCGAAGGCGGCUCACUGGAUCGGUACUGACGCUGAGGUGCGAAAGCAUGGGGAGCAAACAGGAUUAGAUACCCUAGUAGUCCCUGAGCGGGCUGGCAAGGCGCAU